GACGUAGGGGACGAGCGUUGUCCGGAUGCAUUGGGCGUAAAGAGCGUGUAGGCGGCCAGAUAAGUCCGCUGUGAAAUCUCGAGGCUCAACUUCGAGCUGUCGGUGGAAACUGUCUGGCUAGAGUCCGGAAGAGGAGAAUGGAAUUCCUGGUGUAGCGGUGAAAUGCGCAGAUAUCAGGAAGAACACCCGUGGCGAAGGCGGUUCUCUGGGACAGUACUGACGCUGAGACGCGAAAGCGUGGGGAGCGAACAGG
Molecule: ribosomal RNA, 253 nt
Filed under: uncultured bacterium
Lineage: Bacteria
Description: partial 16S ribosomal RNA
Rfam family: Bacterial small subunit ribosomal RNA
Source: RNAcentral